This 605-nucleotide long non-coding RNA is filed under the name Homo sapiens (human). RNAcentral describes it as "non-protein coding lnc-RBMY1A1-2:1". The record is from RNAcentral. Lineage: Eukaryota; Metazoa; Chordata; Mammalia; Primates; Hominidae.
CAGGUCAUGGUCAGUGGGACCUCCAAAGGAGGCACCCCAUUCAAAUUGGAGGCUCUGCAGGAGAGGGCAGCCAGGGCGCAGAGUUCGAAGGCACUCUUGGGGGAGGAGAAGGUGCUGGUGGUGGACAACAUCAUGGCAUGGUCCAGGUGGUGGUUGAGGAGAAGCCUGACAUGGAGCCUGGUGGAGGACCAGCAGACAGCCUGGCCCUGGAUCCAGCACACCCCAGCCAGCCACAGACUCGCUGGAGGCCCUUCACUUGAAGCAGAGUUCCAUGAAUAACCAGUCCACAUGGCCUGCCCACAGCUGAGAUGUAAGCUUUGGCAGAGGUGCCUUCCCAGCCUGGAUGGCACAGGGGCCAUCAGCCAGGGCAUCUCCAGCUUCUGGGCCUCAGCCCAGAUAGAUGAAAUGGAUCCUUUGAGUCUGUCCUCUUCUUCUUGGCAUGGCAGGUGGAGGAACUCAGCCAUCCCAGGUACCGGCAGCAGGAUGAAGUGUUCCUUUUGUCACAACCUUUAUUUCCACAAUAAAGUGAUCAUUAAGGAAUAUCGUGUUCACAUCAAUCCCCUGCAGCACUACCUAAGGAUUAGGUCCUCAGAGAGGGAACAGAG